Molecule: long non-coding RNA, 332 nt
Organism: Mastomys coucha (southern multimammate mouse)
Lineage: Eukaryota; Metazoa; Chordata; Mammalia; Rodentia; Muridae
Exons: 3
Source: RefSeq, a predicted model, not a curated record
UUCAGAAUUCCACAGUGGAAGCCCAAAGCUCCUUCCGUAACACAACUGGGCACAGUAGCAGGACGUAUGGUGCAGACAUCUCAAGAUUGGAGAUAGCUCAGCAGGAAAGGGUGCGUACUCCUCCUCCAGAGAAGUGCCUGUAACUCCAGGGGACCUAAGGCCUAGAUCACAGUAGGAAGACUUGAUGAGAAGACGACUACAAUAUGAAGCAAAAACACAAGAUGACAUCUCCAGGAUGUUCCUCAGAGAAGAAAGCACGCUUUUGUCUAAAUAUGGUUUGCUUAAUCUUACUUAAGUUGGUUUAUAAACGAAAAUCAGUCAAAUGAACAAGA